RNAcentral lists this ribosomal RNA (467 nucleotides) under uncultured bacterium. Its description in RNAcentral is "partial 16S ribosomal RNA". It matches the Rfam family "Bacterial small subunit ribosomal RNA", at positions 29 to 507 of the family's 1533-position model. The record is from RNAcentral.
ACGAACACUGGCGGCGUGCUUAACACAUGCCAGUCGAACGGAAAGGCCCUGCUUUUGUGGGGUGCUCGAGUGGCGAACGGGUGAGUAACACGUGAGUAACCUGCCCUUGACUUUGGGAUAACUUCAGGAAACUGGGGCUAAUACCGGAUAGGAGCUCCUGCUGCAUGGUGGGGGUUGGAAAGUUUCGGCGGUUGGGGAUGGACUCGCGGCUUAUCAGCUUGUUGGUGGGGUAGUGGCUUACCAAGGCUUUGACGGGUAGCCGGCCUGAGAGGGUGACCGGCCACAUUGGGACUGAGAUACGGCCCAGACUCCUACGGGAGGCAGCAGUGGGGAAUAUUGCACAAUGGGCGGAAGCCUGAUGCAGCAACGCCGCGUGCGGGAUGACGGCCUUCGGGUUGUAAACCGCUUUCGCCUGUGACGAAGCGUGAGUGACGGUAAUGGGUAAAGAAGCACCGGCUAACUACGUG